This 1164-nucleotide long non-coding RNA is filed under the name Bos grunniens (domestic yak). RNAcentral describes it as "lncRNA (ENSBGRG00000005890.1)". Lineage: Eukaryota; Metazoa; Chordata; Mammalia; Artiodactyla; Bovidae. The record is from RNAcentral.
AUGCCCCCAGCCCAGCAUCACUGGCGCACUCGUGUGGCCCGGCACCGCCGCACCCCAAGGUCUGGGUCUCCGAAAGCAAGGCGCGGAGCACCGAUCAGCACCCGCUCCGGAAGUCGCUGGCCUCCCGGCCUCCUCUUUCUAUGCACACACGCCCACCCAGCUCCCCAGCUCCAGGGGCGCCGCGGAAGAAUGAAGCCCUCGCCCGGGCGGAAAGCGCCUGGCUGGAAGCAUCCCUCUCCUGCCAGGAGCAGCCGUGCAGCCCCCGCGCCACCUCUCGGUGCCCGCAGUUCCCCGGCCGCCACGGCCACCUUCUCUCCUCCCUCGAGCCAAGCUGUCCCCAGAGGCACAUUCCUGGCGACUCCCGCUCCGUUACCCAGCCGACCCGGCGUGCGGCCGCCCGGGGGAGCAAGGGAGGGAAGGGAGCGGCCGAGGGAGGCGCGGCCGCCGGCUCCUUCUUCGCGCCCGGAACACAAAGCGCCCGGCCCGCGCCACCUGUUCCCAUCCGGCCCGCGGGGCUGGGGGAACCUCCUGGUGGCGAUCCUACUUCUCCCCUCAGUCAAGUUUACCCUGCCUUGGCCUUCCCUGUUGUCUUGGGCGCUGCCCGGGCAAACCUCGUCGUGCCUCGGCCGCGAAAGCCAAAGCAGGCGGCGGGGCUCGGAAGGAUCAGAGUCGCGCGCGGCCACUCACCCGGGCGCCCGGGAGCUGCCCGGGUCCUUCCGGGCGCUGUCGGAGGCCGACGGUAGGCGCCAGCGCCCGAGACGAGCUGGGCGGCGGCGGGAGUGCAAGGAGGCUGAGAGUGGGGGCGCGGAUCCCGCGCGUCCGCCCGGCGUCGGCUCGGCCUGCCUCUCCCGCUCCGGCUCCGGAGCAGCCCCGCGGCUCCUAGCCGCCUUCCGGGCUGAGGGCGGCCGACAGGCGGCCAAUAGGGACCCCGCGGGCGGGCUGGCGACACGGCCCACCCACCUCCGAGCUGCCCGGCCGGGCCGGCGCUGCAGCUGCUGCGCUGCGCUGGCUGCUCCUCCCCGUUCGGCUCUUGGGGCUCGCUGGCGCGCUCUACCGCGCACACCCCCACACCAACCCACUCACUCUACACUCGCGCAGAGAGCGGUCGCGCGCAACGUGGGUGCCCCACCUGUGACACGCGGCUACGCUGCCCUCUUCCGCUAG